RNAcentral lists this ribosomal RNA (253 nucleotides) under uncultured bacterium. RNAcentral describes it as "partial 16S ribosomal RNA". It matches the Rfam family "Bacterial small subunit ribosomal RNA", at positions 524 to 776 of the family's 1533-position model. The record is from RNAcentral.
GACAGAGGUGCCGAGCGUUAGGCGGAAUCACUGGGCUUAAAGCGCGCGUAGGCGGACCUGCAAGUCGGGGGUGAAAGCCCGAGGCUCAACCUCGGAACUGCCUUCGAUACUGCGGGUCUCGAGUCCGGGAGAGGUGAGUGGAAUUCCUAGUGUAGAGGUGAAAUUCGUAGAUAUUAGGAAGAACACCAGUGGCGAAGGCGGCUCACUGGCCCGGUACUGACGCUGAGGCGCGAAAGCGUGGGGAGCAAACAGG